Cyprinus carpio (common carp) is the source of this 1225-nucleotide long non-coding RNA. The record is from Ensembl. NCBI's taxonomy places the organism in Eukaryota, Metazoa, Chordata, Actinopteri, Cypriniformes, Cyprinidae.
UAACAAUGUAGCUAACGUUAGCCAUUACCAUAGAAGCACGGUUAUAAGCCUACAGCUUAUCCGUUUGGUCUGAAUUAUAUUAUAGAAUUAAUUAAACAAGUUCAUAAUGCCAAUGGGCAUAUAGUCAUGUAUAUUGAAUUCGACAGGCUAAUUUGCCAGCUAGUUUCAUGCUAGCCAGGUGAUUUGCCAGUUAGUUCCUUUGCUAGCUAUAUUAUUUUAACUGGCUAUAAACGAACGCGCUUGUUUUUCCUGAAGCUUUUAAUGUGACAUGUGAAGGCAUAACACAGUGUUUGACUGAUUAAAAUAUGUAAAAACAGUGAGAUAAUUUGAUCUGUCUUGUUAUGUGGUGACCCACAAUCGAUAAGAACAAAUUCUUAUUUAAAAUUGGCGGCCUGGCCACUUGAGUGAAGGGUUGAUGUGACACCCCAAAGUAUGUGCACAUUUUGUGUAAAGGUGUUAUACUUUAAGCAAAAGUUUCUUUUUAUUGAUGUGAACUGUAAGAUAUUUGGGACUUGAAAGUAAAUCAGUAAGGUUAGAAUAGUUUGUUGUGGUGAGAAACCAGGACUCUUAUUUUGAAAACUGAAAGGAGGACUCUGAUAUAGGCGCUGUGUGCGCGCCCGCGCCCUUACAUCUGCUGAGCAACUGGUGCGACGUGACACGGAUUUUUCCUGUUAUUUUGCAGAUCAAUGGACAGCUUUGUCAUUAACACUGACAGACCUUGUCGAAAGAUUUAAAGAGGAGGGGAUUGAUGAAGAUAGUUUUCUUUUAGAUGAGGCUACCAUCAACCAGUUGAUCCUAAAACAGGAGGGGAAGCUGACAUUGCCCCUGGAUGGAUUAACACCAGGUAAUAUUCUUGUCAGCAGAUCUUGUAAAUGCAGGGAAUGCGAUGGAACAUGCGUGAUAUUUAUGCAAUUUUAUGUGAUGAAAUUGGAGGUACAUAAACCAUAUAAUCUCUCUAUCAUGUGUUUAUUGUCUUCACGUCAGCCAAAACAUUUCUGCUUUUUAUUCAGCUCAGCUACAGCAGAUAUUGGUUUGCCUACAGCGAUAACUGGAUGCUUUUGUCCAUAUUAGGGAUUUCCUGCACGUCAUACAUGAUCACUUCUAUGAGUCCGUUUUGGACGAGUAUAAAUGAAACAUACACUGCCUGAGAGUGUGUAGUUGAUGUUAACAUUGCCUCAUUCUGGACACAAAUAAAAUGUCAGGUCAUGCAUAGAUUAUCCUAAUG